Molecule: small nuclear RNA, 107 nt
Filed under: Mesocricetus auratus (golden hamster)
Lineage: Eukaryota; Metazoa; Chordata; Mammalia; Rodentia; Cricetidae
Source: RNAcentral
GUGCUAACUUUAGCAUCACGCAUGCUAAAAUUGAAAGAGUGCAGAGAAGAUCCGAGUGGCCAUUGUACCGGGAUGUCGUGCAGAGUUGCAUGGUGUAGAAUAUUCUU